Gavialis gangeticus (Gharial) is the source of this 271-nucleotide long non-coding RNA. RefSeq lists it as uncharacterized. Lineage: Eukaryota; Metazoa; Chordata; Crocodylia; Gavialidae. The record is from RefSeq and is a predicted model, not a curated record. The transcript has 3 exons.
CACAGGGCCAGGCCCCUGGGAAAGCUGGGCCUCUAGGCAGGGGCACAGCCGCAGCUUCCACCGGGGUCAUCCUGCUGCUUGCAUUUAAGCUGCUGAAAGCUGCAGAGCCUGGAGAGCCCCUUCCCCAUCCCGCCUGUCAGGGGAGGCAGGGAGACGAGGCAGCUAGUCCUCAGCACCACGAGUCCUCCCGGUCAGCGGCACAGGAUGUGGUCGGCCGCGCUCACGCAGGUUGCCUGGGGGGCAGAGGGGCAAGACGGUCAGGCCCAGGUGC